Molecule: ribosomal RNA, 276 nt
Filed under: uncultured Anoxybacillus sp.
Lineage: Bacteria; Bacillati; Bacillota; Bacilli; Caryophanales; Anoxybacillaceae
Description: partial 16S ribosomal RNA
Rfam family: Bacterial small subunit ribosomal RNA
Source: RNAcentral
UCGACCUUAGUUGCCAGCAUUCAGUUGGGCACUCUAAGGUGACUGCCGGCUAAAAGUCGGAGGAAGGUGGGGAUGACGUCAAAUCAUCAUGCCCCUUAUGACCUGGGCUACACACGUGCUACAAUGGGCGGUACAAAGGGUCGCGAACCCGCGAGGGGGAGCCAAUCCCAAAAAGCCGCUCUCAGUUCGGAUUGCAGGCUGCAACUCGCCUGCAUGAAGCCGGAAUCGCUAGUAAUCGCGGAUCAGCAUGCCGCGGUGAAUACGUUCCCGGGCCUU